UCUCUCUCUCUCUCUCUCUCUCUGCGUAUUUGUUGAAAGGGCGGAGACUUCCAUGAUCCACCUCCUCUGUUACUUUUAUAGUUGUAUUUGUCAUAGCUGAUUAGCAAAGCCUCUGUUCUAUCAAAGUUGGACUCUCCAAAUCCUUAUCAUGGCCAUCGAUGUUUCAACCUUGCAAAAUAUUUAUGUUGAUUCCUGUGAGAGACAUGGGGUCCUACCUAAUGCUGCAGUUUUAUCUGGUUUCGUCAAGGCUGAGGUUAAAAAGUCUUGCAAAGAACUAUGUAACUUGGAGAUAUUCUUGGACCAACUUAACGAUAUUGACUUUCCUCCUCUUCUCGAUGUUUGUUUGUCAAUUGACACUUCUGAGAUUGAAGCUGUUGACAUACAUGAUGGAUCAUCGCGUGUGUUGAAUGGAGACUAUGCUUUAUCUUUGAUGCGUGCGUUCAAUCAAAAGCUUCGAGUUGUAGAUCUUCAGGAUUCAUUAUAUGGAAAGGACUUCUUAAGGGAGCUGUCACAAGGAGGGUUGACAUGCCAAGUUUUAAACUUGAGGUCUUCACGUUUCCGGAAGCUCAACAUGGCGGGAGAAUUCAUGCGGAUACACACCCUCAAUCUUGAUUUCAACACUUCACUUACUAGCUUCCGUGAGGAUUGUUUUACUUGCAUGCCCAAUCUAAAUUACCUCUCAAUGUGUGCAACAAGAGUUGCAAAUCUUUGGACAACUAUUGCAGCACUUACUAAACUCUCUUCUUUGGUGGAGCUAAGGUUUCAAAAGUGGCUGUGCUGUAAUGAGACUGGGUCUUCUUCAGCACCAUGUGGUGGAAAGUCAGAUUAUCAAUGUGAAUAUGGUCAGAUAAGAAGUUGUUCCAACAAUGAAGCACCAUCCAUUGUUUUAGGUGAGCAAACAGAUUUUAACUCAGGCACAGAAGAGACACUCAGGAAUAUGUUUUCUUUCAAUAAUGUGACGAUGAAUCAAGAAGUUCAAAGCAUGAUGGAGGAUUCAUCAGAUGAUGGUGAAGUGGAUUUUUCAACUCACUGGCAAGAAUUCGAUUACAUGGAUUCAUUGUCCAAUGAAUCUUCAGGGUGGAACAGACAAGUCAAUCUGCAGGAUGAGGUGCCUUUUAUCACUAUGUGCAAUCACAAUGAAGAAUCCUUGGCUGGUGCUUUCACAAGGCAUAUGACAGAUGUUGCUUUGAAGUAUAUUUCUUGUCAUGCUUCACCCAUAUGCUAUGAGAAGCAUUAUAAAGAAUACAUGAUAGCUUCAUUGCCCCAAUUGAAAACUUUAGAUAACUUGCCUAUCAGAAAGAUUGACAGGGAAAGGGCUGCUGUUACAUAUUCACAAUACUUUGAGUACUUACCAUACAAACGGAAAUAUAAAGAGAGUGUUGUUCGUAUUUUGAAUAGGCGUGAAAUAAAAGAAAAUCGUACUUUUUUUCAGACAAAGAAUCAUAAGCGUUCAUAUCCUUCCAAAAACUCACAAUACUUCUAUACCCGGUCUUUUUGUGCCGCCAAAGUGGGUUCUUCAGCUUGGCCUUCUUUGCAUCCACUUUCUGUGUCAGGAUGUGAUUUGGGUGGUGGAAGGAGGAGCUUUCGUCCAAGACAGUUCGAGUAUCAUCCUUCUAUCUCCAGCCUCUUGGUAUUUGGAACUUUAGAUGGUGAGGUGGUUGUAGUCAAUCAUGAGAAUGAGAAAAUAGUAAGUUAUGUUCCCUCACUUGGAGCAAUGAACAGUGUAUUGGGCCUAUGCUGGCUCAAGCGUUAUCCAUCCAAGCUCAUAGCUGGUUCUGAUAAUGGCUCACUAAAAUUAUAUGACGUUGAGCAUAUGCCCCCAACACUUAUGGGAAUACAUUCAGGUGCUGGCUCAGUCACCUUUGAUGAUUUUGACCAGUUGACAUCUGUUCAUGUUAAUGCUACGGAUGAGCUAUUUCUUGCAAGUGGAUACUCAAAAAAUGUUGCUCUGUAUGACAUCAACUCUGGAAGGAGAAUACAAAUGUUCACUGAUAUGCACCGGGAACAUAUCAAUGUGGUCAAGUUCUCAAACCAUUCCCCGUCAAUUUUUGCUACUUCUUCAUUUGAUCAUGACGUCAAACUAUGGGACUUGAGACAGAAACCAAUACAGCCUUGCUAUACAACUUCAAGCUCUAAUGGAAAUGUGAUGGUUUGCUUUUCUCCAGAUGAUCAUUAUCUUCUUGUAUCUGCUGUUGACAAUGAGGUUCGACAACUUUUGGCAGUUGAUGGGAGGCCACACUUGAAUUUUGAGAUAUCGUCAACUGCAAGUUCACAGAAUUACACUCGCUCCUACUACAUGAAUGGAAGGGAUUAUAUUAUAAGUGGGAGUUGUGAUGAACAUGUGGUCCGUGUCUGCUGUGCUCAAACUGGAAGGCGUCUCAAAGACAUAUCUUUGGAGGGACGAGGCCUGGGGACUUCAAUGUAUGUGCAGUCUUUGAGGGGUGAUCCUUUUAGGGUGAGUUUGAAUUAUUGUAUUGAUUCUCAGCAUGCUUAUGGUAAUUGAACAGGUAGACUUGGGAAUUAUGUUCAUAAAAUCUUUCACAUUUCUACCAAACUUCAUCAUUUCACAACACAUCCAUUCGAGUUAGGUUGUAUGAAUAUUGCUUCUAAAUUUAUGAAAAUUUUUUUUAUUACAGUAUGUUUCUCAAUUUGCUUUGUGUUUUCUUAAUGCCUUUUGCAUAGGAUUUCAACAUGAGUAUCUUAGCAGCUUACAUGCGUCCAAACUCAAAGUAUGAAAUUGUUAAGGUCAAUUUGCUUGCAUCUUGUGAUCGCUCCAAGGAAUGCUCUUACAGCCAACAUUCACAAUCAUCCAAUGGUAUGGGAGGUUGAACUCCAUCUGCUCACAGGCCCACAUGCAAUUGUCAUACAUUAUACAUGCAUAUAACAUUGAAUACCCCAUUAUCCAUCAUCCUUGUAUAUAUAUAUAUAUAUAUGCUUUAUUCAAGUGUAAAUAAUUGAAGCAAAAGAUGAUUAAUGUUCUUUUGCUUAAUAAAGCAAGUUCUUGGAAAUGGCAAAUAUCUUUGUUCUAUGACAUUGAAUUCAUAUUGCUAGGUUUGGAUGUAUGUAUAAAAUCUUGAAUCAACCCAUUUAAUAACCAAACCCAACCAAACAAGCAAAAACCUGAGAUGUAUCAGGUCUGGUUAGUUUGGGCUGUCUGAUAAUUUC
This 3165-nucleotide unclassified non-coding RNA is filed under the name Hevea brasiliensis (rubber tree). The record is from RNAcentral. Lineage: Eukaryota; Viridiplantae; Streptophyta; Magnoliopsida; Malpighiales; Euphorbiaceae.